UUUACCUACGGGAGGCAGCAGUGGGGAAUAUUGCACAAUGGGGGAAACCCUGAUGCAGCGACGCCGCGUGAGAGAAGAAGUAUUUCGGUAUGUAAAGCUCUAUCAGCAGGGAAGAUAAUGACGGUACCUGACUAAGAAGCUCCGGCUAAAUACGAGCCAGCAGCCGCGGUCAUACGUAUGGAGCAAGCGUUAUCCGGAUUUACUGGGUGUAAAGGGAGCGCAGACGGCAAGGCAAGUCUGAUGUGAAAGUACGAGGCUCAACCUCGGGACUGCAUUGGAAACUGUCUGGCUAG
This 293-nucleotide ribosomal RNA is filed under the name uncultured bacterium. RNAcentral describes it as "partial 16S ribosomal RNA". It matches the Rfam family "Bacterial small subunit ribosomal RNA", at positions 334 to 644 of the family's 1533-position model. The record is from RNAcentral.